This 1301-nucleotide long non-coding RNA is filed under the name Strongylocentrotus purpuratus (purple sea urchin). RNAcentral's name for it is "uncharacterized LOC115929039". Lineage: Eukaryota; Metazoa; Echinodermata; Echinoidea; Camarodonta; Strongylocentrotidae. The record is from RNAcentral.
UUUUGUUGGUGCCCCCCCCCCCCCCUUUGGAAGACGCUCCGCCACUCCUGGGGGGACACAUCAGUCAAAAGCGCGCACAGGGGGGGGGGGGGGGUUGAGGGGUAAUGUGCCCCCCUCCAAAGCUGAAUUUUUGAACCUGGAUUUUGUCAAACUCCCAAUAGAUAAAUAUCAUUCACAAUUCUCUUCAAGCAGUACGUGUAACUUCACCUUGCAAGCAGUAUGUUUAAUUUUUUAAUCACCUUGUAUAUUAGGCCCUGUAUUUCAGCUCAAAUUGUUUAGUGAUUGUGGACAGGCGAAGCAGGAAAAUAGAAAAUUUGGCCUUCAUACACACAACCACACCAGUGACACCAUGAAACAGAAACACUAUUACAAUGAUUACCCGUACUGAAACAUAGUUUUCAAACUACCGAGGAGAGGUAACCAGGAACCAAGGUAUAAUACAAUGAUGCAAUUUUACCCAUGUUGUAGUAGUACAUGGUAGUAGUAUGGAUGUCCCGCCUCUUCUUUUAUGCACAUCCUUUCCACUGCUAUCGCAAGUUUUAAAAAAAGGGCCCAAUGCUGCAUAACUAAGCAAGGUAGGAGUUCAUUAAAAACAUGAUGUAAAACAUUAAGUAUAUCACACUAAGCAUCUCAAUCUGACAGCACGAUGUGGAGAAAAGUUAAUGGUGUAGAUAAAUACACAACAAAUAUGUUCAUCGGCAGUCUAAGUCAAGCAAUCAUUUAUAAAACUGAGGCUUUGCCAAGGCAUCCAUUUUAAGUAUGUGUCUAUAGGGCAAAUAAGAUGUAGUCAAGUACUCAAGUUACCACCUGUCAGCCAAGAUCAAACUUUUGGAAUAUAAGAGUUUUGGGGAGGGGUCAUCUUUUAUCAAUUUCUGUUUAUUGAUAAUAAUUAUAACAUUUGGGAAUGGGCCUAUGAGUCUGAUAUACCUUGGUGCGUGUGUGGACCACGGAGUAACCAUCACACUAAAGGAUGUUAUAUACUAUUGUACAGUAUUAUUGUUUCUCUGGAAAAAAUUGCAGUCAUUGAGUCAUAGGUAUUUUUUUUUUUUUAAGAAAUGUUUUUAUAAUGUGUUUUAUAAUGAAGGGUGCAGGUCAUGAUACAAUACAUUCCCUGGAGAAAAAAAUAGUGCUCAGAUUUAGCCUAAGUAUGCUUUGUUGAAUUUUUAAAGAAAAAAGUAAUCUACAAAUGGAAGUAGCAGAUGAGGUCAUUUGUGCUUAAUAUUUGACCAUCAAUGUUAUAAUCUGUAAACAUAUUAGUUUGUUGUAAUAAAAUGAAUAAAUUAAACAUGUUUAUUAUCUUA